Molecule: ribosomal RNA, 301 nt
Filed under: uncultured bacterium
Lineage: Bacteria
Description: partial 16S ribosomal RNA
Rfam family: Bacterial small subunit ribosomal RNA
Source: RNAcentral
CAGCAGCCGCGGGAAUACGUAGGUGGCAAGCGUUGUCCGGAAUUAUUGGGCGUAAAGGGCCCGCAGGCGGUUUCUUAAGUCUGAUGUGAAAGCCCCCGGCUCAACCGGGGAGGGUCAUUGGAAACUGGGAAACUUGAGUGCAGAAGAGGAGAGUGGAAUUCCACGUGUAGCGGUGAAAUGCGUAGAGAUGUGGAGGAACACCAGUGGCGAAGGCGACUCUCUGGUCUGCAACUGACGCUGAGGAGCGAAAGCGUGGGGAGCGAACAGGAUUAGAUACCCGCGUAGUCCCUGUCUCUUAUAC